UAUUCGGCAGUGAGAGUGGCGCACGGGUGCGUAACACGUGGGCAAUUUGCCGUAAAGUCUGGAAUAACUUGCUGAAAGGCGAGCUAACACCGGAUGUGACUCUUAGGAGGCAUCUCUUGGGAUUUAAAGUCGGGGACCGCAAGGCCUGACGCUUUUCGAUAAACCCGCGGCCUAUCAGCUAGUUGGUGAGGUAAUGGCUCACCAAGGCUAAGACGGGUAGCUGGUCUGAGAGGACGACCAGCCACACUGGAACUGAGACACGGUCCAGACACCUACGGGUGGCAGCAGUCGAGAAUUUUUCACAAUGGGCGCAAGCCUGAUGGAGCGACGCCGCGUGGGGGAUGAAUGGCUUCGGCCCGUAAACCCCUGUCAUUCGCGAUCAAACCUCACGACCCAACACGUCGUGAGUUGAUAGUAGCGGAAGAGGAAGGGACGGCUAACUCUGUGCCAGCAGCCGCGGUAAUACAGAGGUCCCAAGCGUUGUUCGGAUUCACUGGGCGUAAAGGGUGCGUAGGCGGUCGGGUAAGUCUGACGUGAAAUAUCGGAGCUUAACUCCGAAACGGCGUCGGAGACUAUUCGGCUAGAGGAUUGGAGGGGGGGCUGGAAUUCUCGGUGUAGCAGUGAAAUGCGUAGAUAUCGAGAGGAACACCCGUGGCGAAGGCGAGUCCCUGGACAAUUCCUGACGCUGAGGCACGAAAGCUAGGGGAGCAAACAGGAUUAGAUACCCUGGUAGUCCUAGCCCUAAACUGUGCAUGUUUGCUGUGAGAGGAAUCGACCCCUUUCGUGGCGAAGCUAACGCGUUAAACAUGCCGCCUGGGAAGUACGGCCGCAAGGUUAAAACUCAAAGAAAUUGACGGGGGCCUGCACAAGCGGUGGAGUAUGUGGCUCAAUUCGAUGCU
This 899-nucleotide ribosomal RNA is filed under the name uncultured bacterium. Its description in RNAcentral is "bacterial SSU rRNA". It matches the Rfam family "Bacterial small subunit ribosomal RNA", at positions 80 to 958 of the family's 1533-position model. The record is from RNAcentral.